UUUUGUUCUGUUUCUGAGUGCCUACUAUAAGCCAGCACUGUUACAAACAUGGCGCUCAUUAUUCUCAUUUAUAGAUGUGAAAAACUAGGCCCAGAGAGGUUAAGAAACACAGCGAGUUCACACAGCUGAGCCAGCGUUGAAACCAUGGUUACCUCCCUCGGAAAAUUGACGCUUUCUUUUUCACAAAUCCACAACAGGUGGAGGUGGGGACGGCAGGAAAUGAGGGAUAAAUGGGGCGCCAAUACUCAGAUCUUGCCUGUCAGCUGGCAGGAGGAGUUUCGGAAACCCUUUCGGGGCUGCCCUAAACGAGUUGUUAUCUCUCCACUCUCUGCCUUCUUCGGGCACAAUUCAGGUUACGUGAUGGAAGAUACAGAUGGAGUUUUGCUUUUUAAAGUCCCAGGGAGAGCUGCGAUCACAGAGGGUUUCUCUGGUUCAGAUCCUGGGCGCGGACAUGGCACCACUCAUCAGGCCAUGCUGAGAUGGCAUCCUGCAUGCAAUGACUGGAAGGACCCACAACUAAGGUUCCACCAAAAUCCAUCUCCUGUGCCACCGGGGAGAGUGGGACACACUCUAGAGAGCCAGUUAAGAAGGAGGCUUAGUUCCACCUUUGCCAUCUCCUGGCUGUGUGACCUGGGGCCAGUGAGCACCUUGUCUUUCUCUUCACCUCAUCAAGUUGCUGACAUACAGCCUGUCAAAGGCACCCAGUCCUGGAAUUGCCCUCUGGAACUUUCUGGCCAAAUAGUCUUCCAGUCCUUGCUGGGCAGGGAAAUAGUCCUGUGCGGUGGCUGAACGAGCUCAGGACACUCCUGCACUUGUCCCAAAUCGGGCUCCUUACAGCAAGUCCUCUGCUCCUGGUUCUUGUCUUCAGAACUCAUCCAUCCUUUACAUCCUUUCAUGCCGUGGUGAUAGCUGCCAUGUACCUCUAGAG
Molecule: long non-coding RNA, 928 nt
Filed under: Equus asinus (donkey)
Lineage: Eukaryota; Metazoa; Chordata; Mammalia; Perissodactyla; Equidae
Description: lncRNA (ENSEASG00005036244.1)
Source: RNAcentral